GUGGAAAGUGAGGAGUCGCCACUGUAAUCUUGAGGAAAAUAUUUAUUAGAGCUCAGACUCUAGCUUACGUAACAUUGCGGAUGUGACUUUAUCCCUUUAAAAGAAACACGUACGUGUUAAGAAUUUUACCUGCAAAGGGGCUCUCACAAUGAUGGGGUGAAUGAAUUGUGGCGUAUGAAGCCCAGAAAAAUGAAGCCAAAGCACUGUUAAGUUGAUUUAGGAGUGAU
This 227-nucleotide unclassified non-coding RNA is filed under the name Hevea brasiliensis (rubber tree). The record is from RNAcentral. Lineage: Eukaryota; Viridiplantae; Streptophyta; Magnoliopsida; Malpighiales; Euphorbiaceae.